This 438-nucleotide ribosomal RNA is filed under the name uncultured bacterium. RNAcentral describes it as "bacterial SSU rRNA". It matches the Rfam family "Bacterial small subunit ribosomal RNA", at positions 352 to 782 of the family's 1533-position model. The record is from RNAcentral.
CAGUGAGGAAUAUUGCACAAUGGGCGAAAGCCUGAUGCAGCGACGCCGCGUGGAGGAUGAAGGUCUUCGGAUUGUAAACUCCUGUCAAAUGGGAAGAAAGACCUGUCCAUAACAUGGAUGGGGGAUGACGGUACCAUUAGAGGAAGCACCGGCUAACUUCGUGCCAGCAGCCGCGGUAAUACGAGGGGUGCAAGCGUUAUUCGGAAUUACUGGGCGUAAAGGGUGUGUAGGUGGUGUAUUAAGUCUGUUGUUAAAUCUCCUGGCCUAACCGGGAAAUCGCAAUGGAAACUAGUAUGCUAGAGUGUGAGAGAGAGGAGUGGAAUUCUCGGAGUAGCGGUAAAAUGCGUAGAUAUCGAGAGGAACACCGAUGGCGAAAGCAGCUCCUUGGCUCACUACUGACACUGAAACACGAAAGCGUGGGGAGCAAACAGGAUUAGA